This 1562-nucleotide ribosomal RNA is filed under the name Rhynchocyon petersi (black and rufous elephant shrew). RNAcentral's name for it is "16S ribosomal RNA". It matches the Rfam family "Bacterial large subunit ribosomal RNA". Lineage: Eukaryota; Metazoa; Chordata; Mammalia; Macroscelidea; Macroscelididae. The record is from RNAcentral.
AACUAAUACUAGCCCUAUUAAAAAUUAAUAAAACUAAAACUCCCAAAUAAACUAAAACAUUUAUACUAUAAAGUAUAGGAGAUAGAAAUAUGACCUAGGAGCUAUAGAGAAAGUACCGCAAGGGAACGAUGAAAGAUAAAAUUUAUAGUAGUAAAUAGCAAAGCUUAAACCUUGUACCUUUUGCAUCAUGGGUUAACUAGAAACAACUUGACAAAGAGCCCUUUAGCCAAAAUCCCCGAAACCAGACGAGCUACUCACGAACAAUAAUAGAAUAAACUCGUCUAUGUAGCAAAAUAGUGAGAAGAUUUGUGAGUAGAGGUGAAAAGCCAACCGAGCCUGGAGAUAGCUGGUUGUUCAGAAAAGGAAUUUAAGUUCUACCUAAAUUUACCCUAAAGGACUACCUAGCCUUAUUUUCGUAAAUUUAGAGCUAAUCAAUAGAGGUACAUCUCUAUUGAUUAAGGUUACAACCUUAGUUAGAGAGUAAGUAAAUAUAUAAACAUAGUAGGCCUAAAAGCAGCCAUCAAUUAAGAAAGCGUUAAAGCUCAACACUAAUUUAAUACACUAAUCCAACAAAUUUAACAAACUCCUAAUUCAAUACUGAACUAUUCUAUUUAUAUAUAGAAACAAUAAUGUUAAUAUGAGUAACAAGAAAAUAUUCUCCCAGCACAAGCUUAUAUCAGAACGGAUGCCCACUGAUAGUUAAUAGUCCUAUAAUUAUAGCCCACAACCUAGCUAAUUAUUAUUCAUACUAUUAACCCAACACUGGCGUGCAUUUAAGGAAAGAUUAAAAGAAGUAAAAGGAACUCGGCAAACAUGAAUCCCGCCUGUUUACCAAAAACAUCACCUCUAGCAUUACUAGUAUUAGAGGCCCUGCCUGCCCAGUGACAUUAGUUUAACGGCCGCGGUACUCUGACCGUGCAAAGGUAGCAUAAUCAUUUGUUCUCUAAAUAAGGACUUGUAUGAAUGGCUUCACGAGGAUUCAACUGUCUCUUACUUCCAAUCAGUGAAAUUGACCUCCCCGUGAAGAGGCGGGGAUAUGAAUAUAAGACGAGAAGACCCUAUGGAGCUUUAAUCUAACUAUCUAAUAACAAUAAACUACACCCUUAAGGGUAUAACAAACGUUUAAUAGGUAGAAGAUUUCGGUUGGGGUGACCUCGGAGCAUAAUUCAACCUCCGAAAGAUAUUUGCCAAGACUUUACUUGUCUAAGCUUCACAAUCCAAUUGAUCCACAUAUGUGAUCAACGGAACAAGUUACCCUAGGGAUAACAGCGCAAUCCUAUUCUAGAGUCCAUAUCGACAAUAGGGUUUACGACCUCGAUGUUGGAUCAGGACAUCCCAAUGGUGCAGCAGCUAUUAAAGGUUCGUUUGUUCAACGAUUAAAGUCCUACGUGAUCUGAGUUCAGACCGGAGUAAUCCAGGUCGGUUUCUAUCUAUAUAAAUCUAUUUCUCCCAGUACGAAAGGACCAGAGAAAUAAGGCCUACUUGUCACAAGCGCCUUACAAAUAACUAAAUGAAAUAAUCUCAAUUUAUACCCGAUAAAUUACCCCCUAGAAAAGGGGAUU